UGCAAACUGCGAAUACCGGAGAAUGUUAUCACGGGAGACACACGGCGGGUGCUAACGUCCGUCGUGAAGAGGGAAACAACCCAGACCGCCAGCUAAGGUCCCAAAGUCAUGGUUAAGUGGGAAACGAUGUGGGAAGGCCCAGACAGCCAGGAUGUUGGCUUAGAAGCAGCCAUCAUUUAAAGAAAGCGUAAUAGCUCACUGGUCGAGUCGGCCUGCGCGGAAGAUGUAACGGGGCUAAACCAUGCACCGAAGCUGCGGCAGCGACGCUGAUGCGUUGUUGGGUAGGGGAGCGUUCUGUAAGCCUGUGAAGGUGUGCUGUGAGGCAUGCUGGAGGUAUCAGAAGUGCGAAUGCUGACAUAAGUAACGAUAAAGCGGGUGAAAAGCCCGCUCGCCGGAAGACCAAGGGUUCCUGUCCAACGUUAAUCGGGGCAGGGUGAGUCGACCCCUAAGGCGAGGCCGAAAGGCGUAGUCGAUGGGAAACAGGUUAAUAUUCCUGUACUUGGUGUUACUGCGAAGGGGGGACGGAGAAGGCUAUGUUGGCCGGGCGACGGUUGUCCCGGUUUAAGCGUGUAGGCUGGUUUUCCAGGCAAAUCCGGAAAAUCAAGGCUGAGGCGUGAUGACGAGGCACUACGGUGCUGAAGCAACAAAUGCCCUGCUUCCAGGAAAAGCCUCUAAGCAUCAGGUAACAUCAAAUCGUACCCCAAACCGACACAGGUGGUCAGGUAGAGAAUACCAAGGCGCUUGAGAGAACUCGGGUGAAGGAACUAGGCAAAAUGGUGCCGUAACUUCGGGAGAAGGCACGCUGAUAUGUAGGUGAAGUCCCUCGCGGAUGGAGCUGAAAUCAGUCGAAGAUACCAGCUGGCUGCAACUGUUUAUUAAAAACACAGCACUGUGCAAACACGAAAGUGGACGUAUACGGUGUGACGCCUGCCCGGUGCCGGAAGGUUAAUUGAUGGGGUCAGCGCAAGCGAAGCUCUUGAUCGAAGCCCCGGUAAACGGCGGCCGUAACUAUAACGGUCCUAAGGUAGCGAAAUUCCUUGUCGGGUAAGUUCCGACCUGCACGAAUGGCGUAAUGAUGGCCAGGCUGUCUCCACCCGAGACUCAGUGAAAUUGAACUCGCUGUGAAGAUGCAGUGUACCCGCGGCAAGACGGAAAGACCCCGUGAACCUUUACUAUAGCUUGACACUGAACAUUGAGCCUUGAUGUGUAGGAUAGGUGGGAGGCUUUGAAGUGUGGACGCCAGUCUGCAUGGAGCCGGCCUUGAAAUACCACCCUUUAAUGUUUGAUGUUCUAACGUUGACCCGUGAUCCGGGUUGCGGACAGUGUCUGGUGGGUAGUUUGACUGGGGCGGUCUCCUCCUAAAGAGUAACGGAGGAGCACGAAGGUUGGCUAAUCCUGGUCGGACAUCAGGAGGUUAGUGCAAUGGCAUAAGCCAGCUUGACUGCGAGCGUGACGGCGCGAGCAGGUGCGAAAGCAGGUCAUAGUGAUCCGGUGGUUCUGAAUGGAAGGGCCAUCGCUCAACGGAUAAAAGGUACUCCGGGGAUAACAGGCUGAUACCGC
RNAcentral lists this ribosomal RNA (1560 nucleotides) under Escherichia coli. RNAcentral's name for it is "partial 23S ribosomal RNA". It matches the Rfam family "Bacterial large subunit ribosomal RNA", at positions 948 to 2491 of the family's 2925-position model. Lineage: Bacteria; Pseudomonadati; Pseudomonadota; Gammaproteobacteria; Enterobacterales; Enterobacteriaceae. The record is from RNAcentral.